This 482-nucleotide ribosomal RNA is filed under the name uncultured bacterium. RNAcentral's name for it is "partial 16S ribosomal RNA". It matches the Rfam family "Bacterial small subunit ribosomal RNA", at positions 30 to 507 of the family's 1533-position model. The record is from RNAcentral.
AUUGAACGCUGGCGGCAUGCCUUACACAUGCAAGUCGAACGGUAACGGGCCUUCGGGUGCCGACGAGUGGCGAACGGGUGAGUAAUACAUCGGAACGUGCCCGAUCGUGGGGGAUAACGAGGCGAAAGCUUUGCUAAUACCGCAUACGAUCUACGGAUGAAAGCCGGGGACCGCAAGGCCUUGCGCGGACGGAGCGGCCGAUGGCAGAUUAGGUAGUUGGUGGGAUAAAAGCUUACCAAGCCGACGAUCUGUAGCUGGUCUGAGAGGAUGAUCAGCCACACUGGGACUGAGACACGGUCCAGACUCCUACGGGAGGCAGCAGUGGGGAAUUUUGGACAAUGGGCGCAAGCCUGAUCCAGCCAUGCCGCGUGCAGGAUGAAGGCCUUCGGGUUGUAAACUGCUUUUGUACGGAACGAAAAGCCUUCUUUUAAUACAGGAGGGUCAUGACGGUACCGUAAGAAUAAGCACCGGCUAACUACGUG